Molecule: ribosomal RNA, 650 nt
Filed under: uncultured archaeon
Lineage: Archaea
Description: bacterial SSU rRNA
Rfam family: Archaeal small subunit ribosomal RNA
Source: RNAcentral
AUUGAUUGAUACUUAUGCUGGAUGCUUGGUGGUCGAAAGGUGACGCCCUUGGAUGGGUCUGCGGCGGAUUAGGUUGACGCCGGUGUAACGUACCGGCGUGCCUGUAAUCCGUACGGGUUGUGGGAGCAAGAGCCCGGAGAUGGAUUCUGAGACACGAAUCCAGGCCCUACGGGGCGCAGCAGGCGCGAAAACUCUACAAUGCAGGCAACUGCGAUAGGGGGACAUCGAGUGGCAUCCACCUUGGGUGCCUGUCCCACCGUCUAAAAAACGGUGGUUAGCAAGGGCCGGGCAAGACCGGUGCCAGCCGCCGCGGUAAUACCGGCGGCUCGAGUGGUGGCCGAUAUUAUUGAGUCUAAAGGGUCCGUAGCCGGCUUUGCAAGUCCCCUGGGAAAUCCAGCGGCUUAACCGUUGGGCUUUCAUGGGAUACUACAUUGCUUGGGACUGGGAGAGGUAGGAGGUACUCGGGGGUAGGGGUGAAAUCCUGUAAUCCCCCGGGGACCACCGGUGGCGAAGGCGUCCUACCAGAACAGGUCCGACGGUGAGGGACGAAAGCUAGGGGCACGAACCGGAUUAGAUACCCGGGUAGUCCUAGCCGUAAACGAUGCCCGCUAGGUGUCACGGCGGUCGUGAAUCGCCGUGGUGCCGUAGGG